This 438-nucleotide ribosomal RNA is filed under the name uncultured bacterium. RNAcentral's name for it is "partial 16S ribosomal RNA". It matches the Rfam family "Bacterial small subunit ribosomal RNA", at positions 339 to 795 of the family's 1533-position model. The record is from RNAcentral.
CUACGGGCGGCUGCAGUGAGGAAUAUUGCACAAUGGGGGGAACCCUGAUGCAGCAACGCCGCGUGGAGGAUGACGCAUUUCGGUGUGUAAACUCCUUUUAUAUGUCAAGAAAAUGACGGUAGCAUAUGAAUAAGCACCGGCUAACUCCGUGCCAGCAGCCGCGGUAAUACGGAGGGUGCAAGCGUUACUCGGAAUCACUGGGCGUAAAGGACGCGUAGGCGGGUUGGAAAGUCAGGUGUGAAAUCCUACAGCUUAACUGUAGAACUGCACUUGAAACUUCUAAUCUAGAGUAUGGGGAGGGGGGUGGAAUUAGUGGUGUAGGGGUAAAAUCCGUAGAUAUCACUAGGAAUACCUAAAGCGAAGGCGAUCUCCUGGAACAUUACUGACGCUAAGGCGUGAAAGCGUGGGGAGCAAACAGGAUUAGAUACCCGCGUAGUC